GCGGCGGAUGGGUGAGUAUCACGUGGGCAACCUGCCUGUAAGAUUGGGAUAACUCGCGGAAACGUGAGCUAAUACCGAAUGAAGUCUUUCACCGCCUGGUGAAAGGAUGAAAGAUGGCUUUUAGCUAUCACUUACAGAUGGGCCCGCGGCGCAUUAGCUAGUUGGUGGGGUAAAGGCCUACCAAGGCGACGAUGCGUAGCCGACCUGAGAGGGUGAUCGGCCACACUGGGACUGAGACACGGCCCAGACUCCUACGGGAGGCAGCAGUAGGGAAUCUUCCGCAAUGGACGAAAGUCUGACGGAGCAACGCCGCGUGAGUGAUGAAGGUCUUCGGAUCGUAAAACUCUGUUGUCAGGGAAGAACAAGUUGUGUUCUACCAGGACAUGACCUUGACGGUACCUGACCAGAAAGCCCCGGCUAACUACGUGCCAGCAGCCGCGGUAAUACGUAGGGGGCAAGCGUUGUCCGGAAUUAUUGGGCGUAAAGCGCGCGCAGGCGGUCCUUUAAGUCUGAUGUGAAAGCCCACG
Molecule: ribosomal RNA, 527 nt
Filed under: uncultured bacterium
Lineage: Bacteria
Description: bacterial SSU rRNA
Rfam family: Bacterial small subunit ribosomal RNA
Source: RNAcentral